This 39732-nucleotide long non-coding RNA is filed under the name Medicago truncatula (barrel medic). RNAcentral describes it as "long non-coding RNA (MTRU_LNC005765)". Lineage: Eukaryota; Viridiplantae; Streptophyta; Magnoliopsida; Fabales; Fabaceae. The record is from RNAcentral.
AUUCUUUUGUCUUCUUCUGUCUACGUGUGCAAACAUACAAAGGACCUCAAUAACAAAAGGAAUGCAACAGAUAAUUCUACUUCAACAAAGGAAAUUCAAAGGACUAUUCAACGGAAUUAUCCAUAUCAGGCAAAGGGCCAACGUUCUUGAUUGAAGCUUCUCAACGACUCUAUUUACACUGGCACUCUUCUCCAAUGCAUCUCAAAUGACUGCAUAUAUAAGGAGCUGAAGACAUUAAGAAGAAGAAUAACAAGACUCGAUUUACGUUGGCACUCCUCUCUCUCUCUCCCUCUCCCUAUCUUUCCAUCUCUCUCUCCCUCCCUCCCUCUCUCUCUCUCCCUCCCUCCCUCCCCCCCUCCCCUCUCUCUCAAACAAGAUUACUACUAAUUUCACUGUUAAGUUAUAUAUUGUUAAUAUGAUAAGAAGUGAAAAAAAUAAACUCAUACCACUGAAUCAAUGCUCGUAAUUAAUCACCAUUUUGUAGAAAAAAUGUAUAGCGAUGGAAAUGUGAAUAUUUGGUGAAUUACUAUUAACCACUAACAAAAACACGCAAUAUGACACUAACAGAUACACGUUUGAACAUCGGACACACCUUUGAUUAGAAGUGUCGGUGCUACAAAGGUAAAUUAAUAACAAGUUUAGGCCUCUGAUAUAUAAUCAAUAUCAGAUUCUAUUUAGCAUUUUCUUCCUGUUAGGUGAAUAGAACUUUAGGUGGAUUAAACUAAAGGCUAAAAUAUGGUUUUAGUCCCUGUAAAAAAAAAUUGUUUUUGGUCCCUGCAAAAUUUUUAUAUUUUGCAGGGACCAAAAACUACAAAAUUGGUUCAGUUAUAAUGUGCCACGUAUGCAAAUCAUCACAAAAGUGGGGUCAGAGACUAUUUUAAAAAACAAAAAAUUUUGCAGGGAUCAAAAACAAUUUUUUUUUACAAGAACUAAAACCAAAACGAGACAUAUUUGCAGGGACUAAAACCAUAUUUUAGCCAAAACUAAAAUAUAAGGGCACAGUGUCUUUGCUUUAGCUUUAGCCUUUACCAUUUUCAUCUUGUUAAUAAUAAGAAUCAAAUUUUAUUAAGAUUGUCUCUACUCUCCCAUAAUUAUGUGUUGGAUCAAGAGAUUUGAACAACUUUCAGCUUCUUUACCUUUUGGGCUUGUUGCAAAUGAAGAACAAUUUUCUAAAUCCCAAUUAUUAUUAUACCUAUGAAAUACUACAAAGGUGAUACUUUUAUGGCUUAAUUGCACUUUUCCCCCUAUAGUUUGUCAAUUGUGCGAUUUUGCACCCCAUAGUUUUAAACGAGCGAUUUUACCCCCUAUAGUUUCCCCCUUUCUGAUUUUAUGGUCCCCAUGACAUUUAGUGCUGAUGUGUCUGUUUUUUAUCAAUUAAUGUGUGCCACGUGUGUAAUUCCAUUUUUUAAAAAAUAAAAAAAAUGGUAUCUUGAUGCAAAAUACCAUGGGACCAUUUUGAUUUUCUUCUCUCAAAAUCUGAAAAAUACCAUUUUUUUCAUGGGAACCAUAAAAUCAGAAAGGGGGAAAACUAUAGGGGGCAAAAUCGCUCGUUUUAAACUAUGUGGUGCAAAAUCGCACAAUUGGUAAACUAUAGGGGAAAAAGUGCAAUUAUGCCUACUUUUAUAGUUUUAUUGACGUUGAAAAUGAGAAAAUGGUUUUCUCAAAAAACAAAAAAAAUGAGAAAAUGGUUCAAUAUGUACAUAAGAUGAAAAACCGCCUAGAAUUUUAACCACAUGGAUUGACAAUAGGGUAAUGAUGGAUAGUACGGGAUGAUAACUACGAAAAGCUACGAAUUCUGUUUAUUGCUUACACUUUGAAUGCCGUACCACCAUGUAUUCCGUAAAGUAAAUAUUUUUAGUAUUAAUUCAAGUGAUGAUUGUCAAGCUUUAAUUGCUACUACCCCAUGAUUUGUGUUCCAGCAUACUAAAUCUGUUUUUUAUUCCUUUAAAAUUAGACAUGUGUGCAUUCGUCAGUUUUCGUACGUGAAAUUAACCGUACCAUAUAACAUUUGCAAAAAAAAAAAAAAAAAAACUAUCACUUUCCUUUGUAUUUUAUUCAAACUGAGCAUAUUGAACGGUUUGUCCCCUUAGAUCAGUGUGUAUAAGCCCUUCGCCCUUUCAAGUUUCAACGGCGUUCGUUCAUUCUUUUCACAAAUCUUGUUGGAACGAUUUUCCUUCGUUUGCUGUCAAACUAAAUUAGUGUUUCCAACUUCUUCAAGGUAUUAUUUCUUUCUUUCACUUUGAUUUUUACCAAUCAUUCUUCUUUAUUUAUCAAUAAUCAACAUCAUUUUGUAAUGUUUUUCCAUUAUAUUGUUAAUUCGAUUGUAAUUGUUUUUCCAAAUUUCCUUUUAAUUAUUUGUAUCGGUUUAUUCCGUAAUUGGUUUCUUAAUUCCCAAAUUUCUUUAAUCAAAGUUGUAAUUUUUAAUAUCAAAUUCAUAGUUUCAUACUUCAGAUUGAAAGAAAGCAACUCUUUGUCUUCUCGUGUUUGAUUCUUAGUUCCUCUUUCGUCGUACUUUAGAUAUUCAAUGUUUGAUUUCUUAUUGAUGUAUGAUAUCUAUCAAAUUUUAAUCACUUUUUUAUGUGAUUGAAUUUAACUUAAUUUGUUUAUUUUUCUUUUUACAACUUAUUGUAGUCAUGAAAAGUAAAAAGAUUUCAAUUGCCGGUGCAAGAACAAAAGUUGAUGAGGUAGAGAGUCAUGAUGAACUUUGCCCUUAUUUUGAUAAUCUUCCAUAUCACCUCACUGCCCACAUUCUCCUUCAACUUCCCAUUAAGUCUCUUCUUAUUUGUAAAUCUGUGUGCAAAAUUUGGAAAACACUGAUUUCAGAAUCACAAUUUGCUAAAUCGCACUUUGAGCGAUCACCACUUAGUCUCAUGAUUCGGACCCUGACUAUAGAGGAGUGUCAAGAACCAUGUACCUUCUUGAGUGUGAUCCUGAAAAGUUUGAGAUUGGAAGCAACAACCAUGUGAAGCUUACACCUAUAUUCAAGCUUCCUCUCAGAUCAUUUAGGGAUAAAAGAGACGAUAUCAAUAAUGAAUCCAAGCACCCUUUUCGUGCUGCAAGAUUAGUUUCGGGAAAAAAUGAUGAGAACAGUGAUAGGGGUAGACAAAGUCUUUAUAUUGCUUGCAACAGAGAUUUUGAUAAGUUUGAUAUUGUGAAUUCUUGCAAUGGUUUACUUUGUUUGUCUGAUCCAUCUUUGGGAAACCCGUUAGUGAUCUGCAACCCAGUCACAGGGGAGUUCAUAAGACUUCCUGAAUCUACUGCGUAUCGAACUCGGGUAAGAAUGCAAGGACAAGCUGGUUUUGGUUUCCAACCUAAAACUAAUGAAUAUAAGGUGAUAAACAUGUGGGUGAGACAUGUUAAACGUGCCAAUGCGUGGGAGUUUGAGCGUGUGAUCCUUGAGAUAAACACACUUGGAACACCAUCCUGGAGGAAUGUUGAAGUGGAUCCUCACAUUUCUUUUUCGAGUCUCGAGUAUCCCACUUGUGUGAAUGGUGCACUUCAUUGGAUAAGAUUUGAGGGUCAGCAAAGGUCAAUAUUGUUUUUCUGUUUUGAAAGUGAGAGGGUGCAGUCAUUUCCUUCUCCUCCACAUGUGUUUGGAAAUCAUAAUAAUGGAAUUCUUGGUAACAGGCAUAUUAGCAUGGGAGAAUUAAAGGGAUUUCUUUACAUUUGUGACUCGACCUUUGCAUCUGAUGUUUCAAUGUGGGUUAUGAAUGAAUAUGGUAUUGAAGAAUCAUAGACUAAGGUUUACAACAUCAAUACUGCGUUCAAUCCUUCGAGCAGUUUUGCUUCUUGGCAUUCAGCUUUAUGGCCGAUAAAACACUUUGAAGAAGGUGCUGCCAUAUUGUUAUAUCAUUCCUACGACCGUUUAAUCUAUUAUGAACCUGAGAAAUAUAGAUGCAAAGCUUUUCAUAUUCACGGGAGUCGUUCAGGUUCUUUUGAAGUAAUCCCACAUAUUCCAAGUCUAAUUUAAUUUCAUUGAAGGAUGUCUUGAAAGGAGAUAAUAUGGAGGUGUUGAAUGUCCACUCAAGGUAAGAAUGUAGCUUCCAUAAUACUUUAUUUUUAUUGGCAAUUGAAUCUGAUGGUUGAUGUUCUCAUACAAGUCAUAGUAAUCAAUUUUAAUCAUAAGACAAUUUUUUUUUUUUUUUAUAAUUUUAGUUAUUUUCCUUAUCUAAUAUCUACCACCUUUAAUUACAUCUCUGCUCUGAUAGUUAAUGGAAAAAAAAUCAGGUGGGCACAAUCCUUCGUUACCAAUUACAUCUUAUAAAUUUCCUUUAUACUUUCGUGUUGAUGGAGGACGAGAAAAUGAAUGGGAAGUUGUUGUAAUGUCAGUUAUUUGGACCUUCUUAGUUGGUAAUUAGUAAAUAGUUUUCGAGACUAUUCCAUCCUCUGCAAUUUGCAGUUUUAGCUAAUAUUACUUAACCAUUAUUCCUGAAUAUUGGUUUAAUUUAUAUAGGUGUGCAAAGUUUAAAUUGCAGGAAGAAAAGGAAGGUAUAUCUCUGUCUCAACAGAUUGUUUGAGACUUAGAAACUACAUGUUUUCCAUUAUGGUGAAGAAUUUGGUGAAGAGCCCUCUUCCUAAGAAGAGUACGUCUGUUUUCGCUUUUGAUUGGUUUUCUGACCCCUGCGUAUUACAAUUUUAGUUAUGUUACUAAGACUAUGUUAUGUAAUAUUCGUGUUAUUUAUAUAGGUGUGCAAAUAUUAAAUUACAUGAAGAAAAUGAAGAUCUCGAAUGAUGGUUUGACAAAUACCUUCUUCCUCCGGUGGUGAGGCCUUUGGUGAAGAGUACAACUGAUAAGAGGGAAUUUCCAUACACUGGGCAGGGUUAUGUUAAAUCACAAGUUAUGAUUUGGCUAGUUGUGAUUUUUGAAAAAAAUACUAUUUUCGUUCUAGGAUGCAAAUGAUGUCUUUUUAAACUUUAAUCUAGAUGUUCGUUAAUCGUUAUCUAUGCUACAAGACUGGUAUGUUAUCUUGUUGGCUGGGUUUAGAAAAAGAUUGAUUAUUGCUCAGCUAUUUCAUUCUGUUUCUCGACCUCCUAGAUGUGUUUUACUUCAUCAAUCCUGCUUUCCUUGAUUCUUAAUCUUUAACUGCUCCUUGAAAAGGGUUUCUGAAUCCCUAAACGUUAAUCAUAAUGAGUUAUCAAUUUGAGGAGCUUUGAUGAAUAGUUUAGAUUUAAAUUUUUAAUGAUUGAAUUUCAAUUUUGGUGGCAUGAUAUUGAACCCUUUUACAUCCUUUUGUCACGUUCACUUUAAGGUUAUUCCCACCAAAUCAAUAAAUAAUUCAGAUUGUUAGUUAGUAUAUAAUUUCGCAUUGUCCUAUAACUACCUUAGUUUUAUGGUUUGAACUAUUUAGUUUAGUCCUUUAGUGGGAAUGAAGGAUAACUGCUGAUACAAGACAGGAGCGGUCUAUUUAGGAAAAUGCAUGUGAGAUCAAUUGAGUGUGUCAUUCAUAAUUUUGUGGGUUUGACGAUGUUGAAUACAGCAGGUUUGGGUUUGGUGAUGGAGCUGAAAUAGGGGUGUUGGUGGAAUAAAAUGGAGGAAUAUAAGAGGGGUAAAAUGGAGAUGGGGCUUUAACCGUGGUGUUGGUGGGAUAAGGAUAAAAUGGAGGAGUAGAGUUGGAAUAAGCCAUGGGAGGGUUUGAGACAAGAAUGAAAGCACCAAUUGAUAGGAAAUUAAAACCUAUCAAUAACAAAACUAUAAUAAACUAGAAGAUUCAUUAUUCUAGUCUUUCCAUGAUCUUAUAUAUGGAGACUAAAAUAAUGAAUCUUCUAGUUUAUUUUAAAAGAGAAUUUUUUUUAAAUAUAUUUUAUUAGUUUGUUUAGUAGUACUGUUAUUGUGUGGUUAAUGUACUUAUCUUACCAUGUGCAUGUAUCAACCUAUAUAAACAUUGUAUUAUCCUUUAUAAAGAAAGGAAUAAGAUGAAUCAAAAUGUUAUUUUAUUUUAAAAAUAAAAUAUUAUUCUUCCUAACAUCGGGCGUUACCCGAUGUGAAAAGUGGUUUUCAACCGAUGUGGAAAUCCCUUUAUGUAGUAGUGAGUACACGUAUAGAUUUAUGCUUUAAAAACUAAAAUAUUAUACGUUCCUAUACGGUUCAAAAUUUUGGUUUUUGUGUUAAUAUCUAUGUUUCUUUGUGUUUUUUGAUUGUCAUAAAAAUUGUCUAACAAAAUGGUUUGAUCUUAGUAAAAGAAGCUGAAAUAUGGUACUUAUGAUAUUUCGGUUUGGGAUGCAUUUUAUUUGGCAGUUUAUGGGUUAUUUUUUAUUGGCAUCGAAAACAUAUUACAUUACGGCAAGUAAUGUUUCACAAUUACAAUAAAGAUAAAGAAAGGAGUUUUAGUUUUCAAAUUUUUGAAAACCUCUAAUCUAACAUAAAACAUGUUUACCUUUUACUCAAAUUAUCAAUAUAGACUAAACAACAUUUCAUUGAUGUCCUCUAUUUUUAUAGAAAUGUUUAUGUAAUGACAUGGGAUGGAAGGAAACACUGUGAAUCGGCCUAAUAAAACAAAAGUAAAAAGGAUCAUCAGAUCCUUGUUGUACUGUAGUGUAGUGUAGGACCUAGAAGAUGACGUUACGUCCAACAAAACAAAACAAAUAUAUUUUCCCUUGUAAUUGCCGCAAAUCACAAGGGGUAUUACCGACAUAGAUUAUCCACAAACAAAGAAUGAGACAACCAACCUCAAAUUCAAUGGCAUAAAAAGUAAAUCCAACCACUCCACAUGUUUUGUUUUUGGAGUUCAUCACCAAUUUAUUCCAUCUCCCAACAAAGAAUCUUCAACUUCAACCCAAUCCAUCAUUUCAUUUUCAUUUAUUUCUUCAAUUCUUCUUUCUUUGCACUUCCACCUACUACUCUACUACUAGCCAUGUGCCAAGUCACAACCAGUUUCCCUAUUUUACCUAAUACUAUACUCUGUCUCUGAUCCAUACAUACACAAACUCACUAGUUCCUUAAUUGGAAUUAGAGUCAGCAUAACACAACUAAUUGGUCACUUUCUUCAUCAACAAAAUUCUCUGCCACCCCAGGUACUAUAAACUUCAGCUAAAAUUCUUUUGUCCUUUAUCUUCUACUAGUACUAGUAUUUUUUUUUUACCACACAGUUACUAUUGCUUUGUAUUUUAAAUCUUACGGUAUUUGCAUAAAUUUUACCAAGUUUUUCUAGUAAGAUUUAUAAGAGGAUGAAUUAGUGUAUGUUUUGAUUGACUUUGACAAAAUUACAAUAAUCCGUGAUUUUGUAAAAUUCUAAAGUGUAAAUUUUAUGAAAAUUGACCAUGAUUUUACCACUCUUAUUGGUAAUACAUAUAUGCACUAAUUAGUAGUAAUAGAGAGGAUUUUUGUUUCUUCCAUUUUCUACCACUAUCAAACAUUAGAGUAGUUGACCCUUUUUUUUCUAUUUUCUUCUUCAAACAUUUUAUUUGGUCCUUGGUUUCCUACUCGUCAUUAUCUUUCUAGAUGUCUCUAAUCCAAUUUGAUUGGUUGAUUAUUAUCACCCCAAAAAACUAUUUCUAAAAUAAUCUUUAUUGGUGACUACUUUCUGUUAUCUUCUGUUCAGUGCUUUUUGAUUUCUUUGACUUUUUUGUUUCUUUUGAACUACUUUUAUAUUCCAUGUGUCUUUUUUUAUCUUUAUUGUGGAAAUUUCUCUUUUGUUUAUAAAUUUUAUUUUAUUUCACAUAUGAAUUUAAUUUGGUUUUUUUAAAGAAUUUUUCAUGUUGGAGAGUGUUUGAUUCUUGUCUGUAGAAAAGUGAGUUGACUUAUGUAGCAAUUGCUACAACAAGGAGAAUAAAAUGAAAAGAAAAGAAAAAACAAAAUUUAUUAGACAAAGAAUUUCUUUUGUAAAUGAUCUUUGCUAAGCCUAAAUUGGUUAUUAAUGUUCCUUCACUUUUUCUCAAAACUAGUAUUACUACAAUUUGGAAAAUUUCUCUUUCUUUUAGUGUUCGGUGUUCCUAUCUCAAAGGUUCGAUGUAACAUGUGCAUUUACCUUUGUUUAUGGGACCUAGCUAGCUAUUCAAAGAUAAUGAACGUGUUAAAUAAAUAUACACGCACGCUCACAUGCAAAACAAAGAAAACCAUAGAAAUAAAUCAAUGACCAUGUAUGUUUGCAUUUAUUUAUCCCACUUUUUCUACCACGGUAGAAUACAAUGUACUUAUAAUAUUGUCUGUCUUUUCAGUGUGUGUGUGUCCUCACUGUCAAAAAUUGACUAUUCUCCAAUCAUCUUGUAUUAAAAUUUGGAUUUUCUAACACUAACACUAACACUAUUCUUUCACAUAGAUUUGCUAAAGAAAACUCUGUUGAAGGGGUGUGAGUGAGGAUGUUAGAGAGAGUGAAAGAGUUUAACAUGGACAAAGUUAUUGAAGAAUUCGAGUUGAUGACUAAAGAUGCAGAAAGGGUUCAGAGGGAAACACUCAAAAGAAUUUUGGAAGUUAAUGCAUCAGCUGAAUAUUUGCAGAAUUUUGGUCUUGAUGGAAGAACUGAUCUUGAGAGUUUCAAGUCUUGUAUUCCACUAGCUACUCACAAAGACUUGGAACCUUUUAUCAAUAGAAUUCUUGAUGGUGAUGAUUCUCCUAUUCUCACUGGAAAACCUAUUACCACUAUGUCUUUAAGGUGUUGUUUUGAUCUACUUUUCUUGUUUUUUCCUCUUCAUCUAUUUAGUCCUUGAACUCAUAAAUUUCCGCUUUUUUUUUUUUUUAACCGUAUUCUUGCAGUUCUGGCACUACGCAAGGGAAGCCAAAAUAUAUACCAUGGAAUGAUGAAUUGUUUGAAACUACGAUGCAGAUAUAUCGGACCUCUUUUGCCUAUAGGAACAGGUCUUCAUCUUCACUUCUUUUUCUUCUUUAUUUCUGAUAUUUGUUGGUUGAAUAGCUAUUUUGUUUUGAGACAAAAUUUAUGUGCAGCUCCCUUGUAUACCAUUUUUAUUGGUCUUUAGUCACAAUUUGACACGAUUAUGUGAAAAACAUAACAAAUAUUGUUUCGCAAUUUCGUGAUCAAAUUCCUUCAUACUAGUACCAAAUAGCAUGACUGAUCAAACAUUUAAUCAACUGUCAAAUGUUAUAAUUGGUUAACACAAUAAAUAGUAGCUAUAGAAUAGCACCUAUGUUUUUUUUUUUUUUUUUUUUUCCAAUUACUUAUUCUCAUUUAUUUUCUACCAUGCCUUUUUUCUAAUUGGAGUUGGAUUUGUGACACAAUUCCUUUCUGCAGAGAGUUUCCUAUAAAAAAUGGGAAGGCUUUAAACUUCAUAUACGGUAGCAAACAGUUCAAAACAAAAGGGGGUCUCAUAGCUACAACUGCUACAAGCAACGUGUUUCGCAAUCCAUCUUACAAACAUGCAAUGAAGGCACUUAAAUCGCAAUGUUGCAGUCCAGAUGAAGUGAUAUUUGGUGGUGAUUUUUUCCAAUCAUUAUAUUGUCAUCUAUUAUGCGGACUAAUUUUCCGCGAGGAGGUUCAAUUGGUAUGUUCAACAUUUGCACAUAGCAUUGUUCAUGCCUUCAGAUCCUUUGAACAAGUUUGGGAAGAGCUUUGUAAUGAUAUAAGAGAAGGUGUUCUUAGUAGCAGAGUCACGGUUCCCUCCAUUCGAACUGCUAUGUCUAAAUUGCUCAAACCAAAUCCAGAAUUAGCGAACAUAAUCCACAAAAGAUGUAUAGGAUUAAGCAACUGGUAUGGUUUGAUACCGGAGCUUUUUCCGAAUGCAAAGUACAUUUAUGGCAUUAUGACAGGUUCUAUGGAACCAUAUUUGGUAAAACUGAGGCACUAUGCAGGGGUGCUACCUUUGUGUACUGCUGACUAUGGAGCUUCUGAAGGGUGGAUUGCUGCAAAUGUUAACCCAAAAAUUCCACCUGAAUUGGCAACUUACGCCGUGCUUCCUCAAAUUGGUUACUUUGAGUUCAUUCCUCUCACACAGCUUGAGAAUGAAAAUACUUUCCUUUGUGUUAAUCCUCAGCCAGUGGGACUCACUGAGGUUAAAGUUGGUGAAGAGUAUGAAAUUGUUAUGACCACUCCAACAGGUAAGUACUCAAUUAUUGUCCGGUUAAUUUACUUUUGUUUGGUACAUUCACAUUAACUGAUGAAUGAAUCAGUACUAUGUACUACCAAGGACCACAACUACUUUUUUCUUCAUUCAUACUGCGAAUGUGAUGCUGGCAGGCACAUUGUGUAGUACUAUAAAGAAAGCCAUAAUAAUAAGGCCACCAACACACUCUUUAACACAAGUUUCAACACGUUCUUUUUUAUUGAUUGAAAUUCAUAAGGGUUAUACCAAAUAUAUAUGUGACUCACAUGAUUUGGUGUGAUCUAUAUGUGACCGGUAAAAGAGAGUAUGUUGAAACAUGUGUGCUAAAGAGUGUGUUGCUAGUUUUAUUUCCAGUUUAGAAGGAAGAGAAAUGUUGCUUGCAAUGCGGCACAUAGUAUAAAACUUCUGGCAUACUUAUUCAGUUCUAUUUUUAAGAGUUUUUAAAGUAGUUACGGAUAUAUGAAGGCAACAAAUAUUUUGACAUCAAUAUAUGUGCGAUAUGUAGAUUUUUUAUUUGCAGAUGCUGUUAACAAUUAACAUUACUGUUAUAUUCAUAUCUAAAAAAUUUAGAUAUAUAUUUCUCUUUCAUUCUUGAUGGGCCUGAAGUCGCGCAGUUAGGAGGGAUUUGAUCGAAUGGUCCAGAUUUAAUGCAGUCUAAAUAAUAAGAAUAAACCUGCUUUAAAUCUGGACCAUCUUGACUGCAUGAAAUCCAAAUCUGUAAUAAUGUAUGGAUUUCCCUUUCAAUUGCGGUUUUAACAAAAAGAAAAUAUUUUAAAUGCUUCUGGGAAAUGACGACUCGUGCUUACUUUGUGGAUGUAUUUUAUGCUUGGUGGUUUGACCAUCUUUGGGACCAAAUUAGACAAGUUUAUUCAUACUGAUUGAAUGCUUUUGAAAGUUGUAUCAUACCUAAUCAGAUUAAAAUAUAGCAAGUGUCAAUAGUAUAAUCUUGCAAGUUGCAGGCAGACUUGUCUUUAGUUAUUUAAUCGAGCUUUUCUAGGAUUUAAAAAACGAUUGUUUAUUUAGUUGAAAUUGGUUGUGCCUUGACCUUAUCUGCUUCGUCAUUUUCAACUUUGUUUCCAUGAUUCAUGGCACUUUAUAAUGCAGUAAUACUGUACUGUAUGUAUUCUGUAUUGUUGAUAUAACCUAUGCUAAGAACAAAAUUAUAAUUUCAUGAAAUUUCAAUUGUGUUUUUAUAUUAUAAGUAAUAAAUAUUCUUAGUAUAAGAUUUUAAAGAUUUUCAGCAAAGUCUCAUUGGUGAACUAAUGAAGUAUAAUCCGUAUUGAAUGUGCACAAUAUAGAUGAAUUGACUAUAUGAUCCAAUUCAAAUAUUCAUUAAGAAAAACCAGUGCUGAACAUUAAUCAUUUCACCUUCAUGACUAAAUUUCAGGUUUAUACAGGUAUAGGCUAGGGGAUGUGGUAAAAGUUAUGGGAUUCCAUAACUCAACUCCAGAACUAAAGUUUAUUCGUAGGAGUAGUCUUCUGCUAAACAUAAACAUUGACAAGAACACAGAGAAAGAUUUACAGUUAGCCGUGGAAGCAGCGGCAAAAUUAUUAGUAGAAGAGAAAUUGGAAGUUGUUGAGUUCACAAGCCAUGUUGAUUUAUCCAAAGAGCCAGGGAACUAUGUAAUCUUCUGGGAAAUCAACGGGGAAGCAAGUGAAGAAGUGCUUCAUGAAUGUUGCAACUGUUUGGACAAGUCUUUUGUCGAUGCAGGCUACACUAGUUCUCGUAAAGUCAACGCUAUUGGAGCCUUAGAACUUCGAGUUGUUAGGAAAGGAACAUUUCAAAAGAUUCUUGAUCAUUACCUUGGAUUAGGAACAGCUGUUAGUCAGUAUAAAACACCAAGAUGUGUAGGUCCUACACACAACAUUGUGUUGCAAAUAUUGAGUGAAAAUGUUGUCAAGAGCUAUCACAGUACUGCAUUCAAUUGAACAAUAAUAACAACUGACAUUGGUAAUAGUCUGUAAUCUAUAAAGUUGCCUUAGUUUUAGUAAAAAAAAAAGGGUAUAUUUACAUAUAUGCAACUUUCUAACAUUUUUUUCAUCUUUUUAUAAGUAUGGUUCAAUACCUGCCCAAGUAUAUUCGGCUUAGGAUGGUUGAUUUUUCAAUACCUGCCUGAUGUACAAGGUCUGAAGAAUUAACAAAGACUAUGUUGUUUACAUACUAAUCCUGCUUCAAUGUUUACAUACUGAAGCUUGAAUAUUGGGAUAUAGAUCUUGUGUGUUGUUGAAAUAAAUAGUAAAAGGUUUACCGUGAAGUAUAAGAGAUCAUUGUGGUCACUUUGUAAAAGGUUUUUGGCAGAAUCUUGGAACAAAAAAUGCCUUACUUGCUGAGUUAUGGAGUUUUUUCUUUGGUUGUCAAAUGGCUGGAGAAAAGGAUCUUACUCAUGUCAUCGUAAAAAUUGAUUCAACUCAUGUUGUUAAUAUGAUCCACAAUCGGUUUACUUCUAUUCUCCAUCGUUAGCCUCUUCUUUAGGGGUCCUUUUCUUAUCCACCUCCUAGGUUAGACUAUUCAGGUUAAUCACAUUCAUCGGAAAGCAAACUCAUGUGUCGAUGCCCUUGCUAUUAGAGGUCAUGAUGUCGAUUUCUCGCUUGUUAUGAAAAAUGUUGUUCCUACUAGUAUUAAUAUUCUUCUUGACAUAAUCCAAAAAAAAAAAAAAUAUUAUAGUCAUGCACUCUUUUUCUUUUUCCUUUCAUAUAUAAAAAAAACCUCCAAGAUUAGUUAAUUGGGAGUAAUUAACACAUGAAUUCUUUUAUUUGUCAAAAUUGGAUGACAUCUUUGGAAUAUUAAUGGAUGCAUUAUUCCUUCAUAUGCAUUGAAAGUACAACUUUUUAACAUUAACCUACAACAUCAAUGGUUGAAAUUUUGAUCAAUUUGACCAUUUCAUUUUUUUUGUAUUAAGCCAAGUCAAGAAAGCUCAAUUUGACAUUUUCAAAGGAUGUAUUGAAAAAAUGCAUUUUGUUAUACUGAAAAUUAUAUUUAAUCCGAUAAUAUUCAGGUUCAAGUUAUUCAACAAGAGAACCACAUCAUCAGAGCUAAUGACAUCAAAUUAAUUAAUUAGCUGAGACAAACCAAUCCUCAACAUCGGAAAUGCUUAAAUGCACGACAGGCUUUGUCGUGUGACUUGCACGACUUUGUAUUCCAUUUAUUGCUAUUUCAUAUAUUUUUAUUUAUUUUAAUUAAAAUUUAAUUAUAAAAAAGGGAGUGAAGCCACGUAUUGGUCGUGUGGUUUCGUGGGCAGGAAAUUGUCGUGUCCUUUAGCAUUGUUCCCUCAACAUUUGCAUUCACAUUACGUUAAACGCAAGUUCCAACUCCAUAUAGAAUAAUUAUCUUUCUGCAUAAUAGACAUAACUAUCAUAAAAUGAUAAGUCACAAGUUCAAGCAAAGCACCAGCCCAUGACUAAGUCUAAGUUAGACGGAACAUAUUCGGCCAAUAUCGUUGUUAAUUCAUCUACAUGAUUAAUCAUAAUUUUCAAUGUGAUUUAAAUUAAUAAUUAUUUAAUCAACUGAAUUAAUCGUAUUUUUGCACAUGAUUAAUAAGGUGUUGUAGGUGUACGAAAAAAAUGGAAGUCCAUAAAAUAUUAUUGUUUUUGAAAAAUGAUUAAUUUUCAAAACAGUUGCAAUUGAAUUUUUUUUUUUUAAGGAUCACAAUUGAGUUAUGAACUCUUUCGAAAUAAUAAAAAAAAAAUUAAAUAUUUAUAAUAAUUCUUUUUUUAUUUAUAAAAUUGAUUCUGCUUUUAUAAAUCUUUCUUUUAUAAUUCAUUUUUUUAAAAAAGUUAUCUUUUUGUCUUAAGAAAUAAAAGGAAAAUUAUAUUAUUCUCUUUUUUUUAACAUAAAGAAAUUAUAAAUGUUCUAUAUUAAAAAAUCUUGCUUAAAAAAACACGAUAAUAAAGUGAAAAUAUGAAUAAAUUAAUAAUUAAUUAAUUAUAAUGAAUAUCCAAAUUUGUUCCCAGAGAAUAUGGUGGUUGGUUAUUUUUGUUCAUUGUACACAAUAUUUUUAUCGAUGCAUUUGUCAUUGUCUUAGUAAAAAAAUGACCCGAUUAUUUGUAUAAUGAUAAGGAUCCUCAUCAUAACAUAUUAUGAUGACUAUCAUUAUACCUUAAGAAAAAAUAUUAUUAUGAGAAUCUCGUAUAUUAAAGUUUUUCCAAAUAAGCAUCGACAUUUAAUUUUGUUACCAAGAAAGCUUUGAUACCAAAAUAUGAAAAGUGGAGGUUUUGAAAAAAAAAAUUAGCACUUAAAUAGACCAAUAGGGAUGCAUGUUACUCUGUGAGGCAUAGUGCCUUCUCACCAAUUGAAGAAAAUCUAGCUCCGAUGGGAACAUCUCCUGAAGACGUUGGGAGAGGGAAGGAUGCAUUGGUUCAUCCCAUAUGGGAUUGUGGAAGCCCGUUGUAUGACUCGCAUGAGUUGGUCUCGAUUGUUUAUACAAUCGAGAGGCAAAUGAUGUUGUGGCCGAGUUAUGAUGGGCUAAAACGGCCAAUCAUAACCCAGUUCAUGGAUACAGAGAAAGAAACUUCAAUCCGACAUGUUUCGAAAUGUUCUUCUGUGGUAACAAGUUCUAGUGAAACUUUCACGACGAACAUGUGGCUGAAGAAGUUGACUAGCCAAGGGAUCAAGAAGAAGCACAGAAAAAUGAAAGGUCGCUUUUUUAGAUUGGUUUGCGGAUGAAACAUGUUUUAGUCACUUAUGUGAUUUUGAUCUCUGUCUUUGAAAUUGUUACUAUCCAAUAAAAGAAAUCAAUAAACUAUACACACAUUAAUAAUUGAUCUCUGUCUUUGAGUCUAUUUUUGUUGUGUUUAACAUUUUUUCCCUCCUGUAGUUCUGAUCCGUUCAGCAUAAAAACUUCAAAUGUAAUGUGUUUUGCAAUCAAACAACUUGAAAAAAACACGACCGACGGUAAAUGAAUAGUUCAAAUUAUUUGAAUCUUUCAUAUUUCAUUUGAUGUGUUGCAAAUUGUGCAAUUAAAAAACAAGUUUGACAGACUAGUUUGCAUAAUUUUGUUUUGGGAUAGAAUUAACCAAAUAUAUGCCUCUUACUAUAGUUUUUAGUUUUUACAAACACCAAAUAAAAAAUUCACCAACGAAAAAAACAACUUACACAUUUCAAAUAUUAAAAAAUGAGCACAAUAGAUACUCGUUCAUAACAAGACUAUCUCAUAAAUUUUGAGGUUAUUCCCAGUCGCUCACUUUACAUCGGUCAAAAUACACUUAUCAAAUUUUCAAAUAAAAUACACUAUCGAAAGCUUGUUCCAGUAAAAAGCUGCAUUUUCAGGGUGUAUUGACGAAAAAUCACCAAAUUUUAAUAUACGCUAUUAAAUGCUUUCAUGCCGUUAAUAUAUGAGAUUAAAUGUGUUCAUUACUCCCUUCAUUUGUAAUUACAAGACCAUUUACAAACAAUUCUUUGACCAGAAUAUAAAGAAAGAAUCUCCACAUACAAAUGCAUAUAAAUGAAUUAUUGAAUGGCUUCAUACUUUAUUUGACAGAAUACUGAAUUAAAUGCCUUCGUACUUCUUUUUGACAAACAAAAUGCCUUCGCACCUAGAAUGUGAUAAGAUGAACAUUUUUUGUAUUUUUUUCCUUUCGAAUUUUUACUUCUCAGUUUUUUUGUCCUUCUUUGGUAAAAAAAUGUAUAUGCCUCAUCAGAUAAAACCUUCAAAUCUAUCACAAAAAAUAAACCUCGAAAAAUAUACAUACUUUUGUCAUUUUAAGAGUAAAUAUAUCAAGUAAAAGGGUGAAAAUUUCUCAGAAAUAAAAAUAAAAUGGUGAGGAUGAGUUUUCGAAAUUAACUCCCGGCGUGGAUAUUUUCAACCAGAAAUUCAGAAAGUUGAGGUUUAUUAGGAAAAACACGGGAUGGUAAAAAGUAAAUAACAACCCAUCUUCAAAUUUUCCAUACAUUUGUAUAGCCUAAUAAAAGUAAGAGUUGUACAAUUUGGAUGCAUCGUAAGUAUUAAAAAAGACAGUUAUUUUUUACAUCCUAUAAGCUUCCUGCGUAAUACUUUCUGUUUAAAAUCUAUAAUUUGAAAUAGGUUGUAGUUAUUUUUGGAUUGUGUAAUCUGAAACAUAGCAAAUUAAAUAGAAAGUGUGUCAUAAUUGAUAUCAAAGGUCUUGGCUGUCCGUCGUACAAUCCCCGCAUAAACUGCAAAACAAUUUCAGAGAUUAUAUGAGCGAUCGGCAGUAACCAUGAUAUCAUAAACACUCCUAACUAAAAAAGAGAAGGAAAAAGUACGAAAGGAUGAGAAAUGAAGAAUGAAUGGAGUAUGUUGAAGCAUGCAAGACUAUUUGUAACCUUAAACCUAUCUUAGAUUGUAACUACAAUCAAAGGAAACAUUUGCAAUGCAUAAACCGACUAAAAAGAGUAGUGCUAGCAACACUCUCUUUUGAACACUCUCUCUAAUACUCACUCUCUUGUUGGUUUAAAUUAUUGUGAGUAUACACUUUGGAAAUAGAACCCAUAGAAAGUGGUGGGACAUGCAUGAAUUCCAUUCAAUAAAAGAGUGAGUACUAGAGAGUGUUCAAAAGUGAGUGUUGCUAGCAUUCCACCGAAUAAAAAUACAUUAAACACGUCACAAAUCGUCCAAACCUUUGGUGCAACACCAUCGUCCACACAGUCUGGGAUGGUUCGAAUUUUAUAAUCUGAAACUCUCAUAACAUUUUCGGAUUAUGUAAUAUGAAUCCUUUCAGAGUGUGUUUAAGUUUGAUUUUUGGAGGGUUUUCAUGGUGAAUAACAUAGAAAAAAAAUACAAAACAUAAUUUAAUGACGUAAAACAACAUAAUAAUAGAAGUGGUGAUGAAAGGGAAGGUGUUCGAAGAUGUGAUUUUCUACUUGAUCCAGCUGCCCUACCAACUGACAUAUUUCUAUUGUCAUGGCAACAAGAUCUAGCUCAUAAUAGCCUCAUGGUGUUCAUAUCCUUCAAAUGAUUUUUCAAAGUUUUUUAUUAUGUUUUACAACAAAUAAAUUGAGCAGACUAAUUUAUAGAAAUUUUUGUGCGUCGUAAAACACAUAAAUUAUCGAUGCAAUGUGGACUACAAAUAAACAUGUGAUGAACUGAUUCAGAUUAUAUAAUUCGAACGUAACUUGCGCCUUACAAAACAUGAGUUUUAACAUAAUAAGUUUAAUUUGAGUAUCGUACGAUAUAAUAUGUCCCAAAAGUACACGCUAGCUUUUCCAAGAUAUUAAUCAAUGCCAAAAUUGUUAGCACCUGUUGAUCAAAUUUAGUUGUAGUACUGCUAUACUCCAUUCUAGAUGGUUAGGAAGUUGUCGUAAGACUUUAAUUUGGUCAAUCUUGACUUAGAUAAAUAUGAUACGAGUAUGAAGAAUUGAAGGUGUCAAAAGUAAUUAAGAAGCUUAUGACCAAUCCCUUGUGUGCAAAAUAAAUUAACUAUUUUUUUUUGUUACAAAAUAAAUUAACUAUUCGCUAGCCAAAUGUUCAAGAUAAGGGGGAAAAAUAGGGAGGAGAUUCACUUAUCUGAGCUCAAAAUUAUAGACCAAAAGUUCCUCCAAUCAUUUUUUUUCUUCCAAUUUUAUUCUCGAAGUUUAAAGAAUUUUUUGCACAUCAUAGGAAAAAUUAUUUUUACCAUUAAACUAAAGAGGAGCAUAAAUUUUAUGAUGAUCAUAGUAUAUUGUAACACUCUAAUUCCCGACGAUAAUUAUUAAAUAAUAAAAAUAUAUUUAAUAGAGAGGAUGUUACAAAUUCAUCAUUAAUAAUAUAAAAGCAUUAUCACUUCUUUUUUUAUAGUAAAGAUUGUCAAACAGAGGAAAACAAUUCACUGAUUGUAUUAAUAAGAUUAUUCACGUUAUUUAGCAUCAUAAAAGGAAAGUAACAAAGUUUUCAAGAUUCAACUCAAACUACAAUUAAAAAUUAAAUCACCAACCCCACCCUAGUGUUACAAUAUCAGAGCUCGUAGCGACUACAACUUAUUCAACUACUAAAUAACAAAACCAAACGGAGGGCAUCCCAUCAUCUCCAUCCUCUAAAACGUCCCACAUCUACUCCUUGUCAACCUGAGUAUCUGUACUCAGGGUAUAGUCACCGUACAGAAAACAACACAACAAAAUAAGGGGUGAGAAAUCCUGCCAUAACAAAAUAACAGGGAAAAGCAUGCACAUUAAAUAAAUAUCAAAAGAAUAUAGUCUCCACUAUCUCAUCAUUCUCAACAGUUACUAUGUAUAAUCUCUUCAUUUUACAUGUCAGAGCAACACAUCAUAUUCACACUAAAACACCCAAUAUAACAUCAAUGCAUAUGGACUCUUCUAAUGACCUAUAUGACUGUGGUACCACACCUAUCGUCAUAAUUUGCCAGAAGUAUGUUACUUGACUUUCAUCGUCAUAAUUUGCCAGAGAUAUGUUACUGGACUUUCAUCGUCAUUUCGUCAUCAUGAUUCCUAGACACGACUCUAUAUGCAUGCAUGAGACAGACUCUUCAGGUAUUAAAAGAUCAUAACAUCGUCAACAAAUCAGAAUCAUAAAUUCAGACUCUUCCUAUUAUGCACGACAUCAAGACAAACACAUCAUCAUCAUAAGUAAACAUCGUCAUUCUCAUCAUCAAUGUAUAUUAGACACCAUCAUUUAAGUCAUCAUCAUAAUUAUACGUCAUCAUUCUCAUAGUCAAUACACACACACACACACACACACACACACCACCCUCAUCAUCGUCAUAGAUAAACAUCAUUACUCUCAUCAUCAUACUGAAAUAGUUAUCGUCAUCCUCAUCAUCAAUAACAUAUAAACAUUAUCAUUUCUCAUCGUAUUUAUUUAAUUACAUAUAUAUAAUAUCUUCGUCAUCACUCUUCGUCACAUUAUAGAUUCCUCAUUAUUCAUCUCUAUCAACCGUUUAUAUCACCAUUGUAUCUCUUCACUAAUCCAACCCUUACGCGUAAUUCAAUUCUACGUCAACUUCCCUAUAUUUUAUUUUAGUAUUCAUUUUACGAACAUACAUUAUUCUCUCAUCUAUUCUAGGCUCUAUGAACUUUAUUCCUAAUAUCAUACCCUAUUCCUCAUUCUUGGUCUCAAGUUGUUUUCUUAUUUCGCUAUCAUUAAAUGCAAAUUCUCCGCUAUCAUUAAACCUAUAUAUAUAUAUAUAUAUAUAUAUAUAGGUUUUUCCUCACAAUUGUUAUUAACUCUUUCCUACUUAUUCUCCUCAAUAAAACGACUUUAUAUCUUAUUACUUGUUCUCGUUCGUCGUCAUCUAUACACCGUCCUUCCCCUAAUCUUAACUUCAUUUUAAUUUUAAAGUUAUCAUCUAACCUAAUACUUCAUUAUAAUUCGAGGUUUCAUUCUCUUGAUAUCGGUCGUUAUUAUAUUUGUCACUCAUUACAACUACUACGUCUUAUCCUCUAUCCUAUGCAUCUUGCUCCCUGCUAAUCGAUCCUCUUCUUAUUCAUCGUUAUCAUCAUUCAUGUUAUGUUUUCAGUCCUUAAUAUACAACUCCUAACCUUCCCUUACAUUUCGUCUUAACGAUCUUCUCAUCGUUUACGAUCAUAUUCUUUAUUCAUUUUUUACACCUUAUACAUUGUCUAACAUCCCAUAUUAUCAUCGUCUUAUACCCUUUUUACUAAAUCGUGUGUUUUUAGUCUCACCACAUACCCACGCUAUUUGCUCUAGUAAUUUCUCGUCUUAUUACCCUUAAUCAACUUGAUAUCCUUUCUCAAUGAUAUUAUCAUCCCCUAAAUUACCCAAUGAUUUAACUCCUACUCAUAACAUAACCCACUUCAUCAUUUACUCGUCACCCUAAACAAGACAUGUCAUCGUCAUUACUCGUCAUUCACAAAACAUCAUUAAUUAUGAUAUCAUUCAUCCUCACCAUUCAACAAUUAUUAUCUGAACAUAGAUCCUCAUCACACGACAAUAACUUCUCACCAUUAAUCAACAUCUUAUACGAGCAUAUGUACACAUCAUAUUCCUUCGUUACUCGUUACUGCAUUUUAGAAUCUACUCUCGUCAUUCGUUCUCUCCAUUACUACGUCUUUCACCCUAGUAGUAUACCCCGUUAUCCAUUCUAAUUUAAGUAUUAACCUCUCGAUUAAUAUUCCUCAUAGCGUCUCCCGUAUUUAUAUUUCACUUUCUAUUUUCAAGCUAUCUUGACACCAUUAGAUUCUCAUAGGUUACUAUCCUCGGUUCCUAUUUAAGCUUGUUAUUAUUCUGAGUUAAUCACUUCUAAUUACGCUUAAACCCACUCCUUCAUUAUGUUAUAUAGUUUAGGGCCCUUACUUUUACCGUUCUCUUUAACAACCUUCUUAAACUCUUUAUUAUUUUCUAUGACGUUUUAAGGCUCAUUGAACAUAUUAUGCUGAAGUUUCACGAAAAAUGCAGCAUGACCCAGGUACGGUAAUUUAACCAUAACUCAAGUUGCAGAGGUAUGGUUGAGGUGAAACCAAAGCCAUUGGAAAGCUAACACACAUACCUAAAAUUUUCAUGUUUCGACCGAAAUCCAGUUCGGAACGGAAAAUGGUUAAAAACAACAGUUUUUGUUUGUUAAGUUGUGCUGACAAAAUCGGGGGCCGAAUUUACAAAAUUGGGGCCCGAUUUUUGUCGAAUCAAAACACUCAGAAAGGCGUUUUUCCCCAAUUAAUCACUUUUGAAUCACUUAACUCAAUCCCUACACACCCAAAUUGUCCUUAAUCAUCAAUCUAGGUUUACCCUACUAUUUAAGUGUUAAUUCCCUCUCAAAGUAUCCAAUUUUACACUAUUCCAGGGUCAAGUUCUGAACUCUAAUCUCUAAACUAGGUUCCCUUUAUAUUACUCUUUCAACAACAAUUCUACAUUCAUUCAUCAUAAUUUUUCAGUGGAACUCUUCCUCAUGACAGCAAUCAUAACUUAAGAAUUAAUUAACCUCAACAACGUCCUCAUCACCAUCAUAACAACACUCAUACUCUAACCCCUUUACAACCCUACAACAAAAUAUUAAACCCUAGAGAUGAAGAGAUUCUCCCCUUACCUCGAUUUCUUCUGAAAUUUCCAGCUUGGCUUGAUCCCGUCGCAACUAGGGUUUCUUCUCAUAUGCUUCUUUUUUCUUUCUUUUUUCACGUUCAACAAAAGUGACUCUUCUAACUUCUAAUGUUUCUAUUUAUACUUGGGUCAAUCACAUGUUAUAACUUUCUUCUCCUUUAUUCACUAUACUUUUACUCCUCCCCUCCCCCACUUAUUUAAAACUUAUAUUCUACACCUCCGACUUGUAUUAUAUUUACUUAAUUCUUCUCUUCAUCCUAUUAUCCCUAAUAAUACAUCACUAAUCCACAUUAUAAUCAUAAUAAACACGACUCCACCUAUUUAACCUCACAAAAUUAAUUAAAUAGAAAUUUGGGGUGUUACAUAUAUCACCCGCCAUCAUUGGGUAGCAUACUCCUUCAAAAAAAAAAAAAUAUUGGAUAGCACUUAGGUGCCUUUGGGUGUCUUCGUUUCUAUCUCUGUCAUCAAAAUAAUUUAUUUUAAUCAUUCAAUCAUCACUCCUUUUUCAUCUAAAAUACAUUAAAGUUACCCAACACAAAGUCACUGAAGUGUCCUCCCUCCUACACUCACCACCACCGCCGUGUUCCUUCAUCUCUCCAUCUUGGUCUUCAUUUUCAAUUCAUAGAAGAACACAAAAAUCAGAACUCAUGAAUUUGGGUAAAAUUGUUUAUCCAACAACUGAAACAACUUCAUAUUCACCCUUUCAUUCUUUCUCUCCCAUUCAACUAAAACUCUGAUUUAGAAAUUGAGAUCUGGACAACCACAAAUAUUGUAGCAUUACCUUAAUUUUCGUAAUAAUAGAACUAGUAUGCCUAAUCAAUUUUAUUUUAUCACCAAAAACGUCCUAUUAAUCAAAAUAAUAGAGUACUAGUGAGUUACAAUCAGAAGGAAUUUAUGAAACCCAUAUAAAUGGAAAAACUAUCAUUUUUUGGCAGGUAUGAAGAAAAAAAAACUAUCAUGCUACAAAAACAAACAUAAAUAUAGGAUUGGGUUUUUCAAUUGCAACACAUGGAGAUUGUUUUUGAAUUGUUCUUUAAUUUUAAUUUUUUUUUCAAGAUUUUUUAAGCACAACAGGAUGAAGAUGGAAAUGUGUUGUAGUUUCAUGGAGGUUGAAGAUAAUGAGUUUAAAGUAAUAGGUGGCGAUGGGUGAAUUGCACAUCUACUGAUAUUAUGUGAUGGGGAAAAAUAUAGGAAAUAAAAUCAAGAACGGUGGAGAGAGAACACUCAAACCAGUGAUGUGGAAGUGUGUAAAAUUUUUAGUGCGGAGAGAGUAUUAGAAGGGUGUGUUAUUUUUUGAAAGAACACACCCUUGUAAAAGGGUGUGUUAUUGAUUUGAUCUGAAGGUUACAAUAAAUUUUUUAUGGUGGAAUUUUUUUAGCGUUUCUCAUGUUAAAUGUCACCAUAAAGAUGUGCAAAAUACACUUUUCAGUUUUUUUAAACAUAGUUGCGUUAUUAUCAUAGUUUAUAGGUGGCAUUUAAGGUGGGAAUGGGAAAUAGUUGUUAAUUUUACAAUAUUCUCGGCAUACUAGAUUUUUUUAUUAGUCAAUUUAAAAAAUAAAAAAAAAUAGAAUUGAGAAAGGUUGUUAAUCUCCGAUCAUCUUCCCCAAAUACCCAAUCUUCGCCGGCGACACAAUCUCCAAUCAACUUCUCAACAAAACUUCGAUUCAUGCUCCAGUUUACUCCUCUGUUCAAACAAUACUCCCUCCUUUCGUUGGUGCCGCAAACAUCACCAAAAUCCGACCAAUCGUUUCAGAUUAUAAUACCAGAGAUCCACUCGUCAAUGAUGGAUUGAAGUGGAUAGUCGCCCAUAAACUCACCACCACUUUUACCAUCGACGACGACAGCAUAUUUGCGCACCAUCGCAUCUCAAAUUACUACUUUUCCCUUGUCAAAAAGGCAAGAUCUUGGAUCAGGAAAGCAAGCUCUUAUAUCAGAGAAUCUCCUUGCUCAUAAAUUCACAAAGAACAAGUUCCUUUACAAUUCAGUUGCAAACAUGACCGAUGAGCAAGGAGCAAAUUCAAUCGCAACACACUAAAAAAUGAGUCAUCUGCUGCAUUCGCAUUUGCAUUGCAACUUCUUCCAAUUCGUGCUGCUUCUUCUGAUAUUAUCGAUGGUCAAAGUGGUUGUGGGUGAUGUUGCCGGUGGUGGUGGGCAUAGAGAAGAGAGAAGGAUGGGUGGGUGAGUGAGGUUGAAGAUAAAGUGAAAAAAGAUAUGAUGUGGACAGACUAUAAUAUGAUUGGUGUUCCUCUUUGAUCUAAUGAUUUAAAAAAUAUUUUCCAUAGUGAAAAACUUUUUCCCCUUCCCACCCUGAAUGCCACCUAGUUUAUAAGUGAUUGUUAAGUUUGAAGGUGAGAANNNNNNNNNNNNNNNNNNNNNNNNNNNNNNNNNNNNNNNNNNNNNNNNNNNNNNNNNNNNNNNNNNNNNNNNNNNNNNNNNNNNNNNNNNNNNNNNNNNNGUAACAAGUUCUAGUGAAACUUUCCCGACGAACAUGUGGCUGAAGAAGUCGACUAGCCAAGGGAUCAAGAAGAAGCACAGAAAAAUGAAAGGUCGCCCACGUGGGGGGGGGGGGGGGGGGGUUGAAUUGUGUUUUCUUUUUCUCUUUAAGAAAUCUUCUUCUGGUAUUACUUCAGAAGCUAGUUGAGAGUGCUUCUGAUGUAAUGUUCAGAAUCAGAUAUGCAGCGGAAUAAAACAGAGCAGAGAAAAGAAAGAGAGACACAAGCAAUUAUCCUAGUUCCUUUCACAAACCGGAAGUAGUCCAGUCCCCCUUGCACUUCCAAGGAGAUUUUCACUAAUAAUCACACAGAUUACAAAUGCUCAAUACUCUCUAAGUAUGAGACUUCUCAAAAUGCUCAAGCACGCAGGCGAGGGACUUCCAAUGCUCAAGCACUAAAGCAAGAGUCUUCUAAUGCUCAAGCACGCAGGCAAGAGGCUUCUAAUCAAACAGAAUUACACAGAAAAUGUUUGACUUUGAACACUUGAUAUACAAUCAAUGGUGUUCACAAUACAAUGCAAUAAAGACUCUAGACUUAAGAAUUUCUAAGAUGUAUCAAAUCAGUGCAGAAAUUCAAAGUGCUUUGUAGAAUCAAAUUUUUGGCAGAGUUUUGGCGCUUUUAACUUGUGUUGAUGUCUCUUGCCAAUCUUCAAGUCUUCACUCCUUUAUAUAGUGGUGAGUAGAGAGACGUUGAGAUUUUUAGCAUGUCUAAAGAGUCGUUGAGUUCCUUUGAUCAUCCACUAGUAAUCUUUUGCCUGAUUUGGGUGUAGUCCUAUGAAGGAUCCACUGUUGUCUUGUCUUGUAGCGUAGACAAAAAACAGAGUAGUGGAGGUAGCGGUUGUACACUUGUACUUUGUCAACUCUGAUAAAGAAGGACAAGCACCCAGUGCUUUUCAAAUGACCGUUGAUACAUCCCUUUUAAUUCUUCGUUCUCUUAGACGAGGUUGAAACGAAAAACAGCUCCUUUGAAACUUCAGUUUAAAUUUACUGAGCAAUUGUAGCUUCUGGUGAUGAUAUAGCUUCUGAUGAAAUCUUGCUUCUGACGGACUUCUGCUUCUGAUGAACUUUUGCUUCUGAUGACGUCAUUACUUCAGAGGCACUUGUUACUUCAGAAGCACUCCUAGCUUCAGACACAAUUUUCUUCAGAUGCUUUAGAUUCCUUUGCUCUCCAUUGUUCUUCCAAGACCUAUUGAAAUUGAUUAACUUUGCCUAUGGUCCUGUACACUUGAACAAAUAUUAGCAAUAACCAAUUGACAAUUUUUAAUACCUUAUUAUCAUCAAAACUUAUUAAGGUUUAUUGUAAAACACAUUUUGUUCCAACAAAAUUGAUGAUUGUGGAUUUGGAGUUAUAGAAUUAUGACACCUAAUCUGUUAUACUACAACAAUUAAUUAUCUCAACAAUAUAUUUUAAUAAAGAAAAUACUAACUUAUAUUCUUGGAGCACAAGUUUAUGUUUUUUAAGAAGUAACGAACCUAUGAGCUUAGGGCAUUUCUAAAUUAAUAUUUUAGUUCAUUUGAGCUAAACAUUAUAAACGAUUCACUUAUUAAAGAAGUAUCUAACCUCUGAAAUGGAAAUUGCACCAUGUUAUUUUUUUGGAAUAUUGUAUUAUUUUAAUUUAGAUCCUGCUAACAUGUGUUGUUUUCCUUUUUACAAAGCUAACAUGUGUCUGUCCCUUCCUUAAAACAAAUAGAGUAGUAUUAUUUCAACAACUUUUUUGGUAUAAUUUUUGGGACAAUUUUAUUAUUUUCUCUUCUUAUUGGUCAAUAAUAAUAGAGAGAAAAAGAAAGAAAAAGAAUAAGGAGAUAAUAUAUGUACGAGAGAAAAAGUUGUAUAAAAAUUGUAAUAAAAUGGUUGUACAAAUAUCAUUUCUUAAAAAAAUAUGUGUUUGUCCCGUGAACUUAGUAAAACAUAUUUUUUAUACGUGUAGAUUUUAUAUUUAAAGUCAAACAUAUUUUUUUGGGUACAAAUAAAACAUUUGAUAAUAGAAGUGUGUAUAAAUAAGUUUCUUAUACUGAAUAAAUUAAAUCCUUAUCUAUAUAAUAUAAGAAUUCAAUCAAACAAUAUUUUGUAGGCGUAACAAUCAAAUAAAGUUAUGAAAUGAACCAGUACGUAAGCUAAAUGCAUGAUGCGUAGAAUAAUUCAACUCUGUUUCUAAGGUCACCUUUUCUUUUAUAACUAGAACAUAAAAAAAUUUCACCAUACCAAUUAUUUGUCCCUUUCUCCAUUCACUUGCGUUUAUUCUCUUGAUUGUAUGUGAUUUUCGAUUGACAGUAAAUAAUAAUAAUCCAUCCGAAAUCGAAAUGUGCACUAAUAAUAAUAUAAGAAAGUGAAAUUAUUUAUAAUAUGAAUUAGUUAGCUGGCCUGGAUAGCGAUUAAUCUAAAAAUACUGUAAGAAAAGGGUAGCAAUAACAAAAGUCAAAGAAUUGUUGUGGACGACAAUAUGAUGAUAAAGAAAAUGAAUUAACUUUGGACGAUAGAUGGAAGAUGCAUGGACAUUGAUCCAUCCAUAUAUACGUAAAUCCACAUUUGCAAAAUAUCAAUUUACAACAUUUAAUUGCAUAACUAGUAAACUUAAAAUUAAAACGAUGAAAUCGGUUUUUGACCGUAUCAAACAGAAAAAGCAAGAAAACAAGGCGUACCAAUACAAAUAUUAUUAUUAUUAUGCUGCUGCCUGCUGGGUUGUAUGUAUGUGGAUGGAUUCAUGAUUCACUUAAGAUUAAAAAAGUAGAAAGUACUAAUCAAUCAAUCAAUGACAAGGCAAUGUCAUUCCAAUUCCAUUGAAAAAAGUUGCUUAUUGAGAAUUGAGAAGUGACGACUACUUAGAGGAGAACAGAACAGGUCACAGAAAUAACUAUACCUUCAAUUUCAUUCAACUUGGCUUAUCUUAGCUUUUUUGUGGUUUUAGUUUCACUUUCAAAUUUCCUAAAACAUAAACUUAUGCCCAUUCCCAAUGCACAUGUCCAUUAGUGACCUAGCUAGCUAACAGAUAAAAACGAAUCCUUCCAACGACGUCGUUUAGUGAAUGAGUGCUUUUGGAUACAAUUAUUUGGUUCUUUUCCUCGUUCGCAUAGGACCAAGUACGCUACUACAACUACCUCGGAAAACGGUCCUCUUUUUCUGUUUUCGUAAUUUUUUUAUGUUUACUAUGGGAAAAAAAGUUUAGCUAAGUUGAUCCCAAACUCAUCAUCAUACUUAAGAGUUAAGACAUACUAUAUCAAUGAUUCUAGAUCUGUUAUAGAUAUUCUUGUCUACUUAUCUCAGUUGAUAAGAACAAGAUAUAAUAUACUCCCUCCGGUUUCAAAUGUAGGGAAAAAAAAAAGCACACCAAUUAAAAAAAUGAAUUGGUUACAUUGAAGUCAUGAUAAAAAAUGUACAACUUUUCAAUUUUGCCCUUGUCAUGUUUUAGUAAUAAUUAAUGAAAGUGACUUUUGAACUCAUGGAGAUAGGGUAACAUUGGAAUAGUAGCAUUUAUUAGGUUGCUUUUACUAUACUUUUUCUUACAUUUGAGACCACAAUUUUUUUUGUUUUUUUCCCUACAUUUGAGACCGGAGGGAGUAUGUAAGAACCGGGGUUCGAGUCCCGAACACCAAAAAAGAAAAAAUUCUCUUACAAAUGUAUUUACAAAUAAUCCACGGUAAAGUUCGACAAUAAAGUGCUUCAAUUAAUUAUUAUGCAGUAUCAAGUGAAUUAACUUCUUAUCAACUAAGUGUGUGUGUUUAGUUGUACAGCGUCCAAAUGGGCGGAAACGCAAAACUAUGUAGGAGCUUGCAAUUGUAACUUCACAAAAAUCACAUCAAAAGUGCGUUGGAAGUGAAAAACAUGAUGCAAACUUCGAUUCAAACACACUAAGUGAGUGAAACUAUACAUUUGCAUGUGAAAAUCAAAAACAACAAAUCCUACCUAUAUAAGUAGAAUCAAAUCUAAACCAAACAUAUCAGAAUCAAUUUUAUACUUUGAUGAUGAAUUCCAACCCCUCGAAAAAGUGAAACCAAACCUACACUAAAUCAAUAUUUCCAUUUUAAUUUUCUCUCUUUCUCUCUCAAAAACCCAACAGUACACAUCACAUACUCUUGUGCAUUAGAAUUAAAUUGAGAGUUGAAUUGAAUUAAUUAAUCUCCUCACCAAACUCUAAGAUUGAGAGAGGAAAAUCUGUUCCCGUUCCCUAACUGAUUCUUAAUAACCCAACUCAACCCACUCCACACACUAUUUUUGCUUUCUGUUAUUUGGAUUCUGAGAAUAAAAAUAAUUAAUGAUAAGAAAGAAGGUGAAGCAUAAGCAAAAGCAUCAGCAUCAGCAUCUGCAGCAAAAGUAAAAGCAAAAGGAGGAACUUCUCUUUCUCUUUUCAGUUUUCUCUCUCUUUCUUUCACCGUUUUUGUUUGUUUUUUUCACUUUGUUGAAAAUCUAAAGAAGUAAAGCGUUGCUUAACAUCACCUUCGACACUUCUCUUUCUAACGUUGUUGUUGUUGUCUCCUCCAAGAAACCAAACAUUCACUUUUGACCACAAAACAAGACAAUCACUGAAACCGCACUGUUUUUUUCUCUUCUUCCUCAUAUGCUUCUGCUUCUUCAAGGUUUCUAAAUAAUGACUGAUUCUUCUAAGUUGCGUUUGGUUCGUUGCCCCAAAUGUGAAAAUCUACUUCCUGAGCUCGCUGAUUACUCUGUUUAUCAAUGUGGUGGCUGUGGUGCUGUUCUUCGAGGUUUGAAAAUUAUUGAAUUUCCUUUUAUACCAUUCAUUCAUUGUUAGUAUCUAUUUUCAUAACCCAUUAUGUAUUUUAAUCUCUUUCAUUCAAGUUUUUCUAUUUGCUUAUUAAUUUUUCAAUUGUAGAAAUUAGAAAGUGCUUUAAUUGUGCUGAAAAACAAGAACUUGGUGAAAAGGGUGUUUUUAGUUUCUGAUUAUGUAGUUGUCUUUUUCUUUUAAAUUUUGCAGCAAAACACAAAGGUUAUGUGAGUGGUAGUUUAUCAGAUGAGGGUAAAGUUGUUGGAGAAGGUUCUGGAAAAUUAGAGAAAGGGUUAGUUGAUUUUAGUGAUACUUCAAAUGUUGAAUCCAAAAGUGGUCCCUCUAGGUGUGAUAAUGAAAGGGGUUCAGAUAAAACAAACGAGAUAAUUCCAAAUCAAUCUGAUGAGAAAGGGUUUUUUGAAAACGACAUUGAUGUCAACAGAAACAACGAUGAUGAAGUGGAUAAAGCAAUGGAAAGACAACAGGAGGAACCUAAGGCUCAAAUUGAUCAAGAAAAUGGGUCUAAAUUCUCUGGUAGAGUUUCUAAUUUGCAAAAUGGAGAGAAAACUUAUAUGGAGGGUUUUCGGAGAAAGCAACGAGUUGAUAUGGAAAGUGUGAGAUUUCCUAGUUCUAAUUAUCCCGAUGAAGGACCUUCAAAUGGUUAUUCUGGUUUUUCAAAUAGCUAUAAGGAAUUAUGGAGGAACGAUAAAGAAAGAGAUGGUGCAAAUAGGGUUCAGCACCUUGAGCAAGAUCGAGCCGAGCUUCUAAGGAAGCUGGAUGAGUUAAAACACCAGCUCAGUAAGUCUUCUGAAGUGGUCAACAACCCGAAAGAAAAGUUUCUUCCUGAUGAAAGGAUGAUUCCUCCUGAUCCUCAUCCGUUCGGUGGCUCGGAUCCCUGGUUUCCCAAUGGACCGUCAGGAUUAAACAGGACUUCGAGGCAAUUUUAUGGACCAGAUAAACAUAUGGCAGGUCCACCUCAUGUCAAUUUUCAUCAUGAUCCGUAUCCUUAUAUCGGCGGUCAUGAAACGGCUAUGCCCAAUUUUCAUCCUUCAAUGCAAAAUCCAAACCAAUAUGGGGAUCCUUUUGCAUCCCAAUUGUUGAGGAGAGGUCCACAUCAGUUCUCACAGCAACCAUUGCAUCCGUACUUUCCUGGACGUUAUGUUGAUCCUAAUCCAGAUUCAUAUGAACUGUAUGCGCAUAAUAAUAAUGCAAUGCUUCACCAGCCUUCUUGCUCUUGUUUCCAUUGCUAUGACAACAAAAGAAGAGGCUCAGUGCCGAUGCCGCCUCCUUCAUUCCCAAAUGAUCCUUCUAUGUUAUAUCAUCAUGAGAUCCCAGGGGGAUAUGGUUCACAUGUUCAUAAUUCUAAAGCUUCCAUUCCUCCUGCACGUCUUCGUGAAAAUCAAUUACAUACAAGAUGGCCUAGUGACUUCAACUCUGAGAUGGGUGGUUUUACUCGAAACCGUCAUCGGAAGGUAAUGGUAGCUAGUAGUAGCAGGCGUUGCCAUCCUGUAGCUGGUGGGUCACCUUUCAUCACAUGCAAUAAUUGCUUCGAGUUACUGCAACUGCCUAAAAAGGCACUUGUUCUUGCGAGAAAUCAUCAGCAGAAAGUGCGAUGUGGAGCCUGUUCUUCAGAAAUCAGUGUUUCACUCAUCAAUAAGAAGCUGGUUAUAUCUCAUUCAGAAAUGAAGGGAGCUCCCUCAAGGGUUGAUGAUAGCUCUAAUGAGGUUCUGAGUAGCCGGGUAUCACAUACCCGUGGUCUUGCAAACAGGAACGGUGCCAACUUCUCAUCUGAUGAUUAUUCUGGAUAUGAUUUUCUCUCGGUAGAUAAAGAACCACUUUCAGCGGUUGCUUUGAACUCUAACAAGUCGCAGGAGAUGCAGAGUUUUCAUUCUUCAUCUCCUAGUACCUCCGAAGAUGAAAAUAGUUCAGAAGCGAUGAUUGCUCCAAGGGAGGCCUUGAAGUCCAUUCAUCGGCCAACGACAGAUUCUCUAUCUCCUCCUUCGGGUUCAUCACCUCUACAAGAGUAUGUUGAUCACUCUAAUAGUAAUCGCGCUGUAAAUCGGUUUGGAAAAGGCAACCGAAGUAGUCGAUCAGAGCAGGAGAAGGCAAAAUUGGAAAAGAUUGCAUCGCGUCAAAAUUCUUUGAAAGAAACAGCGGUUGCAACAGAGAUGGAUGUCCAUGAUUAUUCUAACACUGGAGUCUCCCAGGAUUCCAGAGAUGCUAGCCGAGAACAUGAUCAUCCUAGAUCUAAUAAAGGGGGUGAGUCAUUCUUUGCAAACAUAAUAAAAAAAAGCUUCCGAGAUUUCUCUCGAUCUAAUCAAAAUGAUGAUUGUGGCAAGAUUAAUGUUACUGUGAACGGGAAGCCAUUGUCAGAUCGUGUGGUUAAGAAGACUGAAAAACUUGCCGGACCAAUCCAGCCUGGAAAUUAUUGGUUAGUAUGCUUUACAGAAUGUUGUUUCCUGACGCCUUAUAUCACAAUUUUCCAAGAAAAUAUAGUUUCAUGUUGAUUGCUUAUACAGUCUGCUAACAUAUUUUCCUUUGUUCAGGUAUGAUUUUCGGGCAGGAUUCUGGGGUGUCAUUGGCGGGCCUUGUCUUGGAAUAAUUCCUGUAAGUUUUACUAUUCUAGCUCAGUCUAUUGGUUGUAUACUUAUAGACGCAGUUUAAUGAUAUUAACAAAAUGAGGCGAUUUAUCCUGCAGCCAUUUAUAGAGGAGUUCAAUCAUUGCUUGCCAGAGAAAUGUUCUGGUGGGAAUACUGGUGUAUUUGUAAAUGGUAGGGAACUUCACCAAAAAGAUUUAGAUUUGCUUUCUGGAAGAGGACUUCCCCCUGAUAGAGAUAGAUCUUACAUAAUUGAAAUUUCUGGGAGAGUCCUUGAUGAAGACACAGGAGAAGAGCUGGACUGCCUUGGCAAACUUGCACCAACGUUAGUACCGAGUUUUGUUGAUUUCAUUCCUGUUGUUUUAAUGCACUUUUGUUUCUAUGAAUUACUUGAAAACAGUUGAGAGAUUAAUUUUUUUGAAUCUUUAAGAACAUUCAGUUGGUAUAAUUUCUAAGUCUGGCUUUCGUGAUAAUUUUACAGAGUGGAGAAAGUGAAGCAUGGAUUCGGUAUGAAACCACCUCGAGCAGCUCAAUAAUCAAAACAUAGGGAUAAAUAUUCUUUCACAGGUUUGAGAAGGUGAAUGUUGUUCCAUCUUUCUGAAGAUUUGGAAACAUUAUCUGAUCAUAGCUUAAGCUUGAAUUUAGAUGACAUAUGUAAUGUGUAAAUUUUUAAUUUUUGUGUUUAAAAAAACCGCAUUAGAAGUUUUGUGCUUGAUAUCAGGUAGUUUUAGGAAAAUUUAAGUGGUAUCGCAAGUCAUGAAUCCAGUGUAGAAUUUGAUUUGUAAAAAUUAGCAAUUUAUUCCUUGAUCAGCUUGUAAUAGUUGUGUAUUUGCAAGUGAAUUUGGGAAAUAGAUCUUAACAUGAUAUAUGGAACAAGAUUACCGUUGAUUAUUCUAUAUGGUUUGCACGCAUUUAGAUUAGACAUACACAAAAAAAAAGCGUAAAUUUUUCACUUCUGUGUCAUACUUACUAUUAAGGAGGAGGGUAAACAAGAAUUAAGUGCGUGAUUCCAUCACCUAGUUUCAAGGUAGAAGUGAUCUUGUGCCAGUGAGAUCUUGCACCAUCAACUUGCUUUGUAAUUUUGUAAAUGAUUCUUGAUUUAUAUAAAUAUUUGAUCAACUAAGAGUAGUGUUGUGUGUUAUCCAACAUGUAUCUGUAGAGGUCAUAGGUUUGAUCCUCACCUCACUGGCCAUGCAGAUUGGAUCCUACAAAAAGAGUUAUGUUCAUUAUACAUUUUCCAAUAGACUUUAGUUAGAUGCAUUUAAAUUUUAAAACAAGAGAAAUAAGAUGAUUCAAAAUGCUAGUAAUCAUUAUAUAACUUUUUUUUUUUUGUAUUAAUCCUCAGUUUUUCAGGAGAAAGGAUUAUGACAAUUAACUAAUUACUCCCUCCGGUCCUUUAUACAAGAAACAAAAGACAUAAAACAUCAAGAUCAAGGAAAUACAUUGAAAAUAGUUAUCUUAUUUAAUACAUCUCUACAUUUAAAAAAUAUUCCAUGAAUACCCCUAAAUUAAUUAUUUUUUAUUUCAUCAACUUACUUACUUUUAAUAUUCUCACUCAUAAUAAAUAAGGACACAAAUGAAAUUUAGCUUCAAACAUACUUGAAACUUGGUCAAUAUUUCUUAUAAAAAGGAUAAAAAAAAAAUUCACUUUUGUUUCUAAUAAAAAGGACCGGAGGUAGUAUUAUAUUUAUUCUAAAUUUUUAUUUUAUAAGAUCCAAGCAUACUUUUAUUAUUGAUUUAAUUAAGGAUGAAAAUUAUAAGUUACUACUCUCUCCAUCCCAAACUAUAACUUGUUUAUCACUUAUGGCUCUGCUCUCUCUCAAUGGAUUAUGUCACUUUGACAUCUAUCCAAUGCAAACAUCAAACAGAGCCAAAUCUACAAGUUAAUGUCAUUAUAGCUCACAGAACAGAGCAGAGCAAGUGGAAUAAUGCAGAAAACACGUACUAGUACACCCCCUUUAAUCCUACUAAUAUCAAAAUGUCCCCUCUCUCCGAGAGACAGGAGAUGAUGAUAAUGCAGAAACACAAGCAUGUCUUCUUCCUUAAGUUUGGAGUGUCAUGAUGUCUCUUGGUCGGUCGGUCUAGCUUUUUGUUUCCUCUUCACCAAUUCAUUUGUGAUGCACACAAUUACUACUCCUUUUCAAAUAUUAAGGUGAACUGAAAUGUGAUCUAUUUGUGGGAGAUUGGGUACAAGUCCUUAUCUGGUCCAAUGGACGUCCUGAUUUGGGGUACCUUUAUUGGAGGUGGAACCCUAAGUUAAGGACUGUGAAUUACCAAAGUUCAAUCCAAAGAAAUUCCUUUACAUUAUGAGGAAUAAAUCAUGGGCCUUUUUUGGUGAUUCCAUCUCCCGCAACCAUGUGCAAUCUUUUACUUUGUAUUCUCUCACAGGUAUAUGAAUUUUGACUUUGUGAUGGCUGGUGGCAAAUGGUUUCUCAAGACAGCAGCAUACCAUGAAAACCCGUAACCGGCUGCCAUUACUGUCCUGGAAAGAAUUUAACAGAGCUUGGAUUUGAUUACGUGUACCGCAAAGCGCUUCAGCUUGUGUUUGAUUUUGUGACAAGCAGUAACCAUAAAGCUAUUGUUUUCUUCAAUGGAGAGUGGUUUAGUGGAGGAUAUUGCAAUAGGACAGUGCCUUUUAAAGAGGAUCUAAUUGAUAUCAAUGAUAUAGAUUCUAUCAUGAGAGAGGUAUUGAAAUUGAAAUGUUUAAUAAGGCCGCUGCAAUUUCGCGAGGUGAACACUUGAAACUUUUAGACACGACUUGGCUCUCAUUGUUGAGACCUGAUGGUCAUCUUGGACCGUAUCGCCAGUUUCAUCCAUUGGAAAAUGGUAAAGUACAAAAUGAUUGUUUACAUUGGUAUUUGCCAGGACCAAUCGAUUCUUGGAAUGAUGUAUUAAUGCAAAUGCAGUAAUUAUUUAUGCAAAUAUAGCACCAUCGAGUCUUCUUGCUACUUGAAUCGGAUUGAACAUCUAAUUACCACAUGAAAACAAGAUUAAACUUGGUGCGUAUUUUAUAUUACACUGAUUUGUCGAUAUCUCAAUAGUCACCUUGAUUUUGUAAAAGCUAUAAAGUGUAGCGCUUGCAAAAUCACUAUGACUUGUUAUGAUUCUGACAAACUCACCGCAAAUCUCAACAUAUACCGAAUUGAAAAGAAUCAUAUAAUCUUUGCAAUUGUGUGUGCAAUUUGAGUACAUUGGCAUAGGAAAACAAUGAAAUUAGGAGUGGAAUAACGCGUUUGGUAAACUAGGUAAAGGUAAUAUGUGUAGUGUGAAAUUAUGACAGAUAAUGAAAAAUGUAGGCAGCAUACAGCUUUUUUUAAUGAUUGAGAGGGAGGGGUAACAAACUACCUGACUUGGAUACAAACUACUUUUUUUUUUUUUUCUUUCUUUCAGUUAAGUAAUAUAUAACUAUAUAAACUGUUAGACGUGAUCUUCAUACAUUUUAAACUCUUGAUCCUUUGUCCCAAAAAAUUGUGAAAAAAUAUAAGUUAGAUACAUAUUAAUGGUCACUGCAUGCAAUAUGAAUAUGGUAAGCAACCCUUUAAAAGAGGGCAAUUACAUUUUUCAUUCUAUGAGUUUCUCGUGUGUCAUAUUUGGAUUUUAAAAUCCGAAAUCUUUUAAGGUGUUUUGAAGACUUUUAUAGAGUGUUUAUGUCAUUCGAAUUAUAUAAUCUGAAUUGUAUAGAGAACAAGAAAUCAAUCGAGUGGAAAAAGAAGGAGUCUAAAAGGAGAAAGUAGAACUGUCCCAAGGCCAAGUCUUUAAGCCUCAUUAUUUUGAACUUUGAAUCAAUUGUCAUGGACCGAUUGUUCAAAAAAUUGUCAUGGACCGAUGGUGUACAACUUGUUUAUACGUGUAUCCAAUUAAAUUGCACCAUAUAGACACGUUUAAAGUUAUUUUAAGAACUAACCUUAAAAGGUGACAUUAUGGUAUGAUUUAAUUGAAUGCGUGUAUAAUUUUUUUUUCACUAUAUCAAUAUAUACAAUUUAAAUUCUUAAACUUUAUACUCCUAUAUCUUUUUUAUUUGACAAAAAAAUAGUACUCCGUUUUUAAUUAUAAGCAAAUUUUACUUUUUAGAUUCAUUUAAUUAGUGAUGUAUGUGAUUCAUAAUAUAUACCACAUACAUCAUUAAUUGAAUGAACUUAAAAAGUAAAAUUUGCUUAUAAUUAAUAAUGGAGGGAGUAGUAUGUUUUCAAGUUUUCAAGCGUGGGUCUCUUUUAUAUUAAUAAAAAAAUAUGGGUUUAAUUUUUUCCUUUUGAAGAGUUUGGCGAAGAAACUAACACACAUUUAGUGCAAAAAAGUAGAGAUGUGUGAGUUCAACCAGGGUUCUAACAUAUCAAAUGCUUAUGCAAUCUUUUGUAUUUGAAAUCAGGGUUGGUCUUAAUAUUUUUUGUGUCCUAAGAGAAUUAAUAAAGUUGUGUCUUUUAAUUAUUUAAAUGUCUUUCUUCUUAUAUUUUUUGUUGUGAAAGAUUUAUUUAUAAUCAAAAUUAUCUAAAAAUAUAUAUUUUUAACAGAACUAAUCUAAACAAGUUAAAAAGAAAAAUAUGUAGUAUGUAACAUCAACUACAAAAUAAAAAUAAUAAUUUGAAUGUCAUGUAAAAAUUGUGUCCUAAACCGCUACCUCUCCCGCCCAUGCUCAUGUCACCCAUGUAUGAAACUAGAGGAUAUACUCAACAUAAUAUUAUGGAAUUAUAUGAAUUUUUGAAUUUUAUCUCUUUAUUUUUUCUUUCAAACUUUUAGUUCAUCGGUUAAGCUGACGUAGACUACUAGAUACAAGGUCAUUUAAAAAAGAAAGAUAUAUAUUCUUCUAUUUUCUCCCUACAUGCCCUAACAUAACAGUCAAAGAUAUUUUUCCUGUUUACUUCUUCUCUUUUAUUUUAUUUUCUUUUAAGUUCCAGUGUGAUUCCUCAAUCUUUAAUUUUAACUCAAUAAAUUCCUUAAAAAAACUCAAUAAAUAAAAGUAUUCCUAACUUUUUUAUGGGAAAAGUACUUCUGUCUUCUUUCAUUUUUCAAAUUUAGUUUUUAUGUGAAGAGAGCAAAGUUAAUGAUUCAUAUGUUGCAUCAUCAAUACAUAUAAGGUACCGGCUCUACGAGAUAAAUGAUUUUUAGAAAAAUUAAGGUAUGCGUACGUUAAAAAAUACAAUGAAAUGUCUUUCAAAAUUAUAACAUUUAACAUCAAAAUGUACAGGUAUCGUCUUUCGUAAUUUAUUACAUUACAAAUUAAAACAUACUCCCUCCGAUCCUUUAUACAAGAAACAAAAGCCAUAAAACAUCAGGACCAAGGAAAUACAUUGAAAAUAUUUAUCUUCAUUUAAUACACCUCUACUUUUUUCUUCUUCUUCAAGAAUACCCCUAAAUUAAUUACUCUUUAUUCCACCAACUUACUUACUUUUAAUAUUCUUUCAUAAUAAAUAAGGGCACAAAUGAAAUUUAGUUUCAAACAUACUUAAAACUUGGUCAAUAUUUCUUAUAAAAAGGACAAAAAAAAAAUUCACUUUUGUUUCUAAUAAAAAGGACCGGAGGGAGUACUUAGUAAAUAAAUAUAAAAAAUAGGAUAAAAAAUGAUAUUUAAAUAAUAGAAGACUAAGACUUGUUAUUUAUAAUUUUUUUUUUAACAAGCAAAAAUGAAAGAACACAUUCUAGUCAAAAUUACAAAACAAUUAGUGGAUACCCAUACAUAAUAGCGGGUUCGACCACCAAUUAUGAGUACCGAAAUUAAAGACAACAUUACUAGCUUUCAACCACCACAAGGAAUAUGAUUUUAUUUUAUCUAACAUAUGCGGUAGAGAGCAUUGAUUAUUUUUAUAAUUAAAAAUUGAGAAAGGAUAUACAAUAUAAUAGAAAAAGUAUUAACAUAAUAAAAAAAAGUUACCCUUCAAAAAUCAUAUUUAAAAACCUAAUUUUUUUUGGACAGAACCUAAUUAUAAUAUUUAUGUUUUAAGAGACAAAUAUAUCUGUGUAUUAGACCGCAAACACUUUAGUAAAAAAAAAAACCCUUUUUAAAUUUAUUGAAUAAAUAAUAUAUCUGAUUUACAUUAUCGAUAAAAUACAUCAGUUAUUCGUCAAAUUUAAAAAGUGUUUUUUUUUUUUUUUUUAUAAUAGUGGUCGGAGGGAAUAUUUUACAAAGAAAAAUGAUAUUUAAAAAUGUAUUUUGCAACCCUGUGCACAUAACAUAAGGGUAUUUUAAUUUUAUAGAAAUAAAAGAAAAAGAAAAAGAAUAUUUGUGUAAUAAAUUUGUGAUUUUUUUUUCAUACUCAUAUUAUAUUAAUAUCUAUUUUUUUUUUGUAAAUCUAUUGUUGUUCCGUAAAUUAUCAUAUAAAUAAUUGUCUAAAAUAACUCAAGAGUUUUUUGAGAACUAAUAUUUUUAGGUUGUUGUUACAAAAAAAAUUGUCAAUAUACAUAUCAGGAUUCUUUUUACAAAGAGAAAUGAUAUUUGUACAACCACUUUUUGACAACUUUUGAAACAACUCUCUCUCUUAUACUCACAUAUGUUUUUAUUCUCUCUCUUCUUCUCUCCAUUGUUUUUGUCCAAUCUCAAAAGAAGAAAAGUGGUUGUCACCAAGAUUGUCUAAUAUUAGUUGUACAAAUAUCAAUCCUCUUUUACAAAUUAAUUUUGGUGGGCAUAUAUCUAGCGUGGUGACGUCUCAUGAUGUACACGUGGGGUGGGAAUGUAUUAUCUUUAGUCCGUACUCCGUUGCAUCAUUCUUUCAUCAUCAUAACGUUUGUACGUUACUUCGUUUGUUCUCUCUCUUUUUUUACAACAACAAUACAAAUGCACUUCAAAGUUAGUUAUACAUAAUUAAAACGGGAGGGAAACAAUCCGACAUCAUACUGCGAGAGUUCUUAACAGUUAACAUGAUUAUUUACUAUUCACGUUGCGAAUUUGAGAGGCAGCUCAAAUCUAUAUAAAAAAUUUGAUUUUAAAAUAGAAAACAAGUAAAUUUGUUAAUACAAUCACUAAUUUUAUGUUUGAGACUCCUUUUAAAGAAUUGUAGGUAUUUAUCUAUCAACUAGUUAAAAUUAGUUACGUCGUCUAUGAAUGUAUAAGUGGUAUCCACAUACCAACUAUUACUUCAUUUGUAAAUUUACCUAUACGGCGGGUUAAAUUUGAUGGACAACUUCAUACAGUUCUCGAUAGUAUGUUGAAUUAUUCUUUUUUUUUAAAAAAAAAUAAUAAUAAGAAUUGAACUUCUUUUUCAAUAUUUAAAACAAACACACAAGUGGCAUGUCAACCAAUUGUGUUGGAAUUAAUUCAAUUAAAAAAAUGUUUUGAACCAAUAUCAAGACAACUUUUCUAGUGUUUCAAUCCAACCAUUAACACCUAACUCCUUAGGGGAUCCUCUACCUCACUAAAAGUAGCCCUUGAAACAGAUCGCAAAGUACACAAUUUUAACCCCACAUACCUUAUACCUCAGCUUUGCUUACUUACUUGAGUGUCAAAAUAUUUGCAAAUACCACCACCAUAAACUUUUCAAAGCAUUGCUCAACUAUCUUUCAUGGAGCCAACUUCUCAAUCAAGUUCGGAUCACAUACAUACAUUAAACUAUAAAUCAAUAUAAAAUUAUUGGAUUCAAAUAGUUAAUUAGUUUUAAUUAAGAACAACUCAUUAGCAAGAAUUUCAAUUUAAAAUCUUGAUUGAAAACCCAAAAUACUAACCCAUUCUCAUGAUCAUUUGUAGUAAAAAAAAAAAAAAAAAAGUAAAUGUAGAAGCUUCCAAGUAAUUGGAAUACUCUUUGAUUGAUACCAACCAAGUACCAACUCACCAAAUAUUGAAUUUGCAUCCUUAAUAGCUUUGGUACCGCCAAGGUAAGCCGUUAAUGUUUUGAUUUUAUUCCAAAUUCAGCGGCCCUUGAUGCCGUCCAGGUUCAAUAUUAUGCAUUCAGAAAGUUCCUUGAACUAACAUGAUACUCCUUCCAUUGCAGUCUUAUUUGAAAUUGAAAGGAAAGGGAAAAAACGUGUGGGAUAUGUAAUACCAUUAUAGCAUUGCACACGUCCAAUAGAUAAAAAAAGAAAAUCAUGUUUGUUUAUCACAUAAGCCUUACGUAUGAAUUGACAUCAUCUCUUUCUUUAUAUCAAAUAUUGCAUGAUCCUUCCCGUCCCCACUCAUAUCAUAUCGCUUUCCUUCUAGAUAACAUUAUGGAUGCCUUUCCCUUCCAUCAUAAUACCAAUAAUAAUUUACCUAUGUUACUAUAUAUGUAUCAAUUUUUUAUUUAUUUUCGAUUUAUUUCUACUUACUCCCAACAUUUUUUCUCACCCAAUCAUCAUCCAAAACCCAUAAUGCCCUCCUUUACACAACACCAAAACAAAUUACGUAUUCUAUUUAAUUUAAAGUAGUAAUGCAUUAUUAAAAGCAUUCCCACACAAUAACAAUUAUAGAAAACUAAAAUAAGUAAAACGUCCUUCACUGAAAUUCAAGCGCUAUAAUAUAUAUAUAUAUCUGCCACUAAAGCACCAACCAAUCAUUUAAUAAACAAACUCUGCCUCCUUUACAGACAGACCAUAAUAAAAACUCUUUUCUUUGUUCUAUAUAUAAUUAUUCCAUUCCUCUUCAUACAUACUCUCAACAUUACAACAACAAUUCUCAAUUCUCACCCACCCAAAAUACUAAACGCAUCAUUUUCAUUUCCAUGGAACUCUCAAAACAAGAACCAUUAUCUAAACCACCACCUAUGGUGGUUAUGCUACCAUCACCAGGCAUGGGACAUCUUAUACCAAUGAUUGAAUUUGCCAAAAGAAUUAUUAUUCUUAAUCAAAAUCUUCAAAUCACCUUCUUCAUUCCCACCGAAGGUCCACCUUCAAAAGCUCAAAAAACAGUUCUUCAAUCUCUACCAAAGUUCAUUUCACAUACUUUCCUUCCACCAGUUUCCUUCUCAGACCUUCCACCAAACUCCGGGAUAGAGACAAUCAUCUCCCUCACUGUCCUCCGUUCUCUCCCUUCUCUCCGUCAAAACUUCAACACUCUCUCUGAAACUCAUACUAUCACUGCUGUUGUCGUCGACCUC